Molecule: long non-coding RNA, 370 nt
Organism: Calliphora vicina (urban bluebottle blowfly)
Lineage: Eukaryota; Metazoa; Arthropoda; Insecta; Diptera; Calliphoridae
Exons: 2
Source: RefSeq, a predicted model, not a curated record
AGCAAUAAAACAUAUUAAAAGUUAUUUAAUAAAUUAAAGAAAUAUGUUUUUAACAAAACUUGACUUCAUAUUGAUUAUUGCCAUUGCCAUGUACUUUAUAAAAUCUACGGAAGCAGGCCAAGUUGCCAGCAAAACUGGGCCAGUCUUGAAGGAAGUAGUUAAUAAUAUACCCAAGCUACCAGUAGUUGGGGCUGCAUAUUAUGCUGCCAAUAAAACACAUGAUAUCAAUAUUAAUACAAAUCCUCUAUCAGUUAGUUAUUCGUCAAGACCUAAUUCGCCGCCACCUAAAACAACUGCUAGUUCUAAGAAGCACUAGAGUAUAAGGAUAUAAUUGUAUCAUAAAAAUAAAUUUGUUCAUAAAAGUUGACAA